GGUAGAGCACUGUUUCGGCUAGGGGGCCAUCCCGGCUUACCAACCCGAUGCAAACUGCGAAUACCGGAGAAUGUUAUCACGGGAGACACACGGCGGGUGCUAACGUCCGUCGUGAAGAGGGAAACAACCCAGACCGCCAGCUAAGGUCCCAAAGUCAUGGUUAAGUGGGAAACGAUGUGGGAAGGCCCAGACAGCCAGGAUGUUGGCUUAGAAGCAGCCAUCAUUUAAAGAAAGCGUAAUAGCUCACUGGUCGAGUCGGCCUGCGCGGAAGAUGUAACGGGGCUAAACCAU
RNAcentral lists this ribosomal RNA (291 nucleotides) under Salmonella enterica subsp. enterica serovar Muenchen. Its description in RNAcentral is "partial 23S ribosomal RNA". It matches the Rfam family "Bacterial large subunit ribosomal RNA", at positions 901 to 1190 of the family's 2925-position model. RNAcentral also lists the same sequence under 3 other names. The record is from RNAcentral. Lineage: Bacteria; Pseudomonadati; Pseudomonadota; Gammaproteobacteria; Enterobacterales; Enterobacteriaceae.